GAAAAUUAAAAUGGAAAAUUAUCAGAACGGAAGAAUGAACCAUUUUCAUCCAUGACUUCACAUGGACUGUUUGAGUAUAGAGCCAGGUGAAACUGAAUUGUGAAUGAAAGUAUCUAGAAAUCCCAGAUGAGACUUUUAAAUCCAAGUAAGUUUGAAGCCACUUGAACUUUUCUAAGAUUCACUCCAGCAGCUUAUUUGCACUGAACACAGAAGUCUGAGGCAAGAAUGAGAAGAGACUAAAACGCACCAUAGGUCUAAGCCAGAAACUUUGAACUCAGGCAAGGAGAAAAGUAUCAUCUGCAGUGCAUCAGGGAAUGAGACCAGGAGUCUACUGUAAAUAGGCUCUCACUAAGAUCAGAGGUAAAAUUUUCCUAAGUUUCUUCCUCCUUAGGGGAGGAAGUGUUCCCUUGUCUUUGGAUAUUCAGGAAAAACAUAGGAAAAUGUGAAAAUGUUUAUGAGCAAAAUAAUUCCUCGCAUAGGAAGUCCUGCAGACUGCAUUUCACCUGAAACACUUUCCUCAAACUUGAGAAGCUGCGAUGUUCAGUCAGACUCUGAGCCAUAGCGUGGAACCAUGCAAAGGGGAUCCACGCUAGCAUAUAAUAUCACUGAUUGUGCAACUGUUGGAACUGAUGGGUAAUGCAGUAACUUCUGUUUUCUUCUCCCCUUUACUGCUUGUAAGUUGUAAGCUGUGAAUAACAGGAAGCUUGUACACAUUUGUAGGUACUGCAAGAACACUCUCGUGUUGAAGGUUACAUUUACUUAUCCAUUUUGAUUUAUUCAUCUGUAUCAAAACUAAAGAAAAAUUCAACACGUGUUAGCAUGUGGGAAAACUUGUUUUAUACAAAACUAUUUUGAAUUGUUUAUAGCCACUCAUUCUUGAAUCUGUGAUUUGAUCCAUUUGUAUACAAUUCAUUUCUAUUUAGCUUGGAAAGAGUACAAGAGUAAAACUUCUUGCAGGCUGCAUACAAUCAUGACAUCAUCCAAGAUUUCACUUUGAGUCAGCAACAGCAUUGCUGGGUCCUCUCUGGAACCAGUGCAGGUUGAACAUAAUUCACUACAUGACUGAAUGACUUCUAUUUUAUUCUGCAAGGCUUGUCCCAUGGAAAAUCUAGUGAGGAGGAUCUGAAUGUUCCGUUCUGUUUCCUGAUCUGGUGGGAAUAGAGAUGCAGACCCUAUCUAGUCCAAACAAUGACACAUGCUUUUCUAGGGAAUAUCAAAUCCAUUUUCAUUUGUGCACAGUUAUGAUGAUAGAGCAUAUUAAAAUUGAAGCAAUCAGUUCAUUAUUAGCUCUGACAAUGUGUUAAGGAUAAUGCUAAACAAAACUAAAGGAGCAGAUUUUUCAGACAUGCUGUCAUGCAUGACUUAAUCUGUAUGAGGUAUUGCUGUGGCAAUCAACUUCCAUGAUAGAUCAGCUGUAUUUUUCAAAGUCUGCUAUAAUUUUAUUUAUAUAAGAUAAACAUGCAUUGUGGACUCUAGCAAGUACAUAUACCUUUUUUUAAUACUGGUAUCAAGAUUAUUUUUAUACACUAUUUCAUGGCCCAUAGCACCUUUAUGACCUGUCUUCGGUACUGCUGCCCUGCACAAUGGUUAUAGCACGUCCACUCUUAAAAUGGUUACCA
RNAcentral lists this long non-coding RNA (1619 nucleotides) under Gallus gallus (chicken). The record is from RNAcentral. Lineage: Eukaryota; Metazoa; Chordata; Aves; Galliformes; Phasianidae.